Phlebotomus papatasi is the source of this 1773-nucleotide long non-coding RNA. RefSeq lists it as uncharacterized. The record is from RefSeq and is a predicted model, not a curated record. Lineage: Eukaryota; Metazoa; Arthropoda; Insecta; Diptera; Psychodidae. The transcript is spliced from 2 exons.
GAAAGAAGAAUGAGAGGAAAAAGAAGUGUAGUAUUGCAACCGUGAACUUGAUUGAAAGCUUUUCGCGCGCGCAGAUUUUUUUUUCUUACUUCAUUCUGCUUUCAAGCACAUAUGUUUUUAAUUCAUUGUCGAGAUUAGUCGAUUGAACUUGAACUAGAAAAUUCUUAUCACGGAGAGCUCACAAGUGGUGUGAAGAAAAAAAUAAAUAAAUAUAUAAAGUACUUGGAUGUGGAAGAUGAUUUUCAAAGAAACACGCUAAUUCACUUUUUUAUACCUACAUCUUUUCCUAUUCUCUGUUUGCCAAUGGAUUUUUCGUAUUGCAGAUAUUUCGAGUUAUUUUUUUGUUAUUUAUUUAUUUUUUUGAGAACUUGGAACAGUCACUAUCGGAAGGCCUCGACCAUGUCUCUGAUAGAGAAGAACCUCUACAGGGUCGAGGAAAAAAAUAAGAUUAAACCAUUUAUUUUAAAAAUAGAAGACAAUAAAAAAAUGAGGAAUUUUUCCAUUAUCUAUGAAUUACUCGAGUCUGUGCUUCUGGGGGAGCUGAUAAGGGAAAUGCAACAUUCUAUAUGCAGCGAAACUGUCAACAGUGAUUGCGUAGUGGAUGUGGAAACUUUUAUCAACUUUGUCAUAGACAAAAGACAUGGACGAAAAAUUAGGAUGAUCGUAUACAAUAAAACUGCUGAAUUUCGAUGCUGUUUUUUCCUGAAAAAAAAAAAUAAACCGAUCAACGAUUCAGUGAAAAGGAAGAUCACACGAGAGUCUCGUUAUCACAAUAAGACGCGAUUAUUCUUUUUUUUAAUGAUGUCUGCACAUUUUUUUUUAUUACAUCCUCUUGUGAUCACGUUCACACUUGAGAUCGCACAAAAUCGUUGAGUAAUUAAUUUUUAUGAUGUGAAAUAUUUCACGUAUAUGAAGCACACAAAUUACAACUGAUGAGUUAUUAUUUUACAUGAUAGCACGCGUAGUGUUGGUUUAUCUUUUUUUUGCGAAUAUUGCGCAAAGUGCUUAUUUUUGCAUUGAGCAUCACAAUAAUACUGCGUAUACGUACUUUGGAGGAAGUCACUGAAGUCAUUGGAGGUGGAUGGAUGACAAAAUGCACGUUGGCACUUUUUGUUGCUUCAAAAACUGGCGGCGGAAAUAACAAAUUUUUGGCGGAAGAUGCGGUGCGAUCACAAUUUCGUAAGCACCUGCACGAUCACACGCGGGGAGGAUCACUCGCGAUCGUCAGUGAAAGUGCGAAUUGGUCGUGUGGCGGAUGUGAGACAAAUUAGUGAUGUCUCCCGGCAGCUGGAGAGCACAGUGGGAAUGGUGAGCGAUCGCCGGCAGCAUCGCGUUCACACUGAACACUUGACCAGCGAGAUUGUGCGAUCGUACCGCGGCAGCUCUCUUGGCUGCAAUGGAUGACACGCGGGAGUGCGUCGGGAUUGGCAAUCAGUGCAGCGAGACGACGAUGGAUGAUGGCUAAUUGUCUCACUUCCACAUUCACCAUCCAAAGGAUUGGCAAACAGAGUGAGAGAGAGUGCAAGAGUCCGAUACCAACAUACGGUCUAGUUAUCGAGAAUGGGAGCUUAACACGGUGAUCGAGUGCAGAGCAAAAUGCAGAAUGGAUAACUGUCGAAGUGAUCGUCGCGGGUGAUGGAAGUUGGAUGCACUAAGCGACGCGUCGCAUGAGACAUGCUACUGAUCUGGACUAAGAAGAAAGAAAAAAAAGCAAAACAACCACCGAGAGCAGCGCCGGAUAAACAACAAAUAAAGCUGUUGUAUGUUUCUGGA